This is a long non-coding RNA of Thunnus maccoyii (southern bluefin tuna), 837 nucleotides long. RefSeq lists it as uncharacterized. The record is from RefSeq and is a predicted model, not a curated record. Lineage: Eukaryota; Metazoa; Chordata; Actinopteri; Scombriformes; Scombridae. The transcript has 3 exons.
AACAAAGUUCAAAGGUUCAUUCUGAAGUUCUGACGGUCUAAAGUACAACUGCGUGAGUUUCACAUGAAAACAAAGAACCACAAGGAUUACAAUGAAAUAGGAUCCAGACAGGUAAACUACUGCAGUACAGACAGGUUAACUACUGCAGUACAGACAGGUAAACUACUGCAGUACAGACAGGUUAACUACUGCAGUACAGACAGGUUAACUACUGCAGUACAGACAGGUAAACUACUGCAGUACAGACAGGUUAACUACUGCAGUACAGACAGGUAAACUACUGCAGUACAGACAGGUUAACUACUGCAGUACAGACAGGUUGACUAUCACAGUACAGACAGGUAAACUACUGCAGUACAGACAGGUUAACUACUGCAGUACAGACAGGUAAACUACUGCAGUACAGACAGGUAAACUACUGCAGUACAGACAGGUUGACUAUCACAGUACAGACAGGUAAACUACUGCAGUACAGACAGGUAAAGUAUCACAGUACAGACAGGUUGACUAUCACAGUACAGACAGGUUAACUACUGCAGUACAGACAGGUAAAGUAUCACAGUACAGACAGGUUGACUAUCACAGUACAGACAGGUUAACUACUGCAGUACAGACAGGUUAACUACUGCAGUACAGACAGGUAAACUACUGCAGUACAGACAGGUAAACUACUGCAGUACAGACAGGUUGACUAUCACAGUACAGACAGGUAAACUACUGCAGUACAGACAGGUUAACUACUGCAGUACAGACAGGUAAACUACUGCAGUACAGACAGGUUGACUAUCACAGUACAGACAGGUAAACUACUGCAGUACAGACAGGUAAAGUAUCACA